RNAcentral lists this ribosomal RNA (468 nucleotides) under uncultured bacterium. Its description in RNAcentral is "partial 16S ribosomal RNA". It matches the Rfam family "Bacterial small subunit ribosomal RNA", at positions 28 to 507 of the family's 1533-position model. The record is from RNAcentral.
GACGAACGCUGGCGGCGUGCUUAACACAUGCAAGUCGAACGGAAAGGCCCUGCUUUUGUGGGGUGCUCGAGUGGCGAACGGGUGAGUAACACGUGAGUAACCUGCCCUUGACUUUGGGAUAACUUCAGGAAACUGGUGCUAAUACCGGCUAGGAGCUCCUGCUGCAUGGUGGGGGUUGGAACGUUUCGGCGGUUGGGGCUGGACUCGCGGCUUAUCAGCUUGUUGGUGGGGUAGUGGCUUACCAAGGCUUUGACGGGUAGCCGGCCUGAGAGGGUGACCGGGCACAUGGGGACUAAGGGACGGCCCAGACUCCUACGGGAGGCAGCAGUGGGGAAUAUUGCACAAUGGGCGGAAGCCUGAUGCAGCAGCGCCGCGUGCGGGAUGACGGCCUUCGGGUUGUAAACCGCUUUCGCCUGUGACGAAGCGUGAGUGACGGUAAUGGGUAAAGAAGCACCGGCUAACUACGUG